Small nucleolar RNA from Mytilus trossulus (common blue mussel), 69 nucleotides. RefSeq annotates it as small nucleolar RNA SNORD37. The record is from RefSeq and is a predicted model, not a curated record. NCBI's taxonomy places the organism in Eukaryota, Metazoa, Mollusca, Bivalvia, Mytilida, Mytilidae. The transcript has a single exon.
AAUGAUGAUUACAAAUAUUCUUCACUUUGACCUGAAUCAUUUGUGAUGAAAAUUUAAAAGUAUCUGAUU